CCUACGGGAGGCAGCAGUAGGGAAUUUUCCACAAUGGACGAAAGUCUGAUGGAGCAACGCCGCGUGAGUGAAGAAGGGUUUCGGCUCGUAAAGCCCUGUUGGUAGUGAAGAAAGAUAGAGGUAGUAACUGGCCUUUAUUUGACGGUAAUUACUUAGAAAGUCACGGCUAACUACGUGCCAGCAGCCGCGGUAAUACGUAGGUGGCAAGCGUUGUCCGGAUUUGUUGGGCGUAAAGCGAGUGCAGGCGGUUCAAUAAGUCUGAUGUGAAAGCCUUCGGCUCAACCGGAGAAUUGCAUCAGAAACUGUUGAACUUGAGUGCAGAAGAGGAGAGUGGAACUCCAUGGGUAGCGGUGGAAUGCGUAGAUAUAUGGAAGAACACCAGUGGCGAAGGCGGCUCUCUGGUCUGCAACUGACGCUGAGGCUCGAAAGCAUGGGUAGCGAACAGGAUUAGAUACCCCGGUAGUC
RNAcentral lists this ribosomal RNA (465 nucleotides) under uncultured bacterium. RNAcentral describes it as "partial 16S ribosomal RNA". It matches the Rfam family "Bacterial small subunit ribosomal RNA", at positions 338 to 795 of the family's 1533-position model. The record is from RNAcentral.